AGCGUGCGCAGGCGGUUUUUGUAAGACUGUCGUGAAAUCCCCGGGCUCAACCUGGGAAUGGCGAUGGUGACUGCAAGGCUAGAGUUUGGCAGGAGGGGGGUAGAAUUCCACGUGUAGCAGUGAAAUGCGUAGAUAUGUGGAGGAACACCGAUGGCGAAGGCAGCCCCCUGGGUCAAAACUGACGCUCAUGCACGAAAGCGUGGGGAGCAAACAGGAUUAGAUACCCGGGU
RNAcentral lists this ribosomal RNA (230 nucleotides) under uncultured bacterium. RNAcentral describes it as "partial 16S ribosomal RNA". It matches the Rfam family "Bacterial small subunit ribosomal RNA", at positions 564 to 791 of the family's 1533-position model. The record is from RNAcentral.